This 484-nucleotide ribosomal RNA is filed under the name uncultured bacterium. Its description in RNAcentral is "partial 16S ribosomal RNA". It matches the Rfam family "Bacterial small subunit ribosomal RNA", at positions 30 to 507 of the family's 1533-position model. The record is from RNAcentral.
AUUGAACGCUGGCGGCAGGCCUAACACAUGCAAGUCGAGCGGAUGAAGGGAGCUUGCUCCUGGAUUCAGCGGCGGACGGGUGAGUAAUGCCUAGGAAUCUGCCUGGUAGUGGGGGAUAACGUCCGGAAACGGGCGCUAAUACCGCAUACGUCCUGAGGGAGAAAGUGGGGGAUCUUCGGACCUCACGCUAUCAGAUGAGCCUAGGUCGGAUUAGCUAGUUGGUGGGGUAAAGGCCUACCAAGGCGACGAUCCGUAACUGGUCUGAGAGGAUGAUCAGUCACACUGGAACUGAGAAACGGUCCAGAACCCUACGGGAGGCAGCAGUGGGGAAUAUUGGACAAUGGGCGAAAGCCUGGUCCAGCCAUGCCGGGUGUGUGAAGAAGGUCUUCGGAUUGUAAAGCACUUUAAGUUGGGAGGAAGGGGAGUAAGUUAAAACCUUGCUGUUUUGACGUUACCAAAAGAAUAAGCACCGGCUAACUUCGUG